GAUGAACGCUGGCGGCGUGCCUAAUACAUGCAAGUCGAGCGAACAGAUAAGGAGCUUGCUCCUUUGACGUUAGCGGCGGACGGGUGAGUAACACGUGGGUAACCUACCUAUAAGACUGGGAUAACUUCGGGAAACCGGAGCUAAUACCGGAUAACAUUUGGAACCGCAUGGUUCUAAAGUGAAAGAUGGUUUUGCUAUCACUUAUAGAUGGUCCCGCGCCGUAUUAGCUAGUUGGUAACGUAACGGCUUACCAAGGCGACGAUACGUAGCCGACCUGAGAGGGUGAUCUGCCACACUGGAUCUGAGACACGGUCCGAACUCCUAGAAGAGGCAGAAGUAGGGAAUCUUCAACAAUGAGCGAAAGCCUGAUGGGACACCGCCGCGUGAGUUAUGAAGGCUUGCGGCAAGUAAAGCUGUGUUAUUGGGGAAGAACAAGCGUGUAAGUAGCUGUGCACGUCUUGACGGUACCUAAUCAGAAAGCCACGGCUAACUACGUG
Molecule: ribosomal RNA, 497 nt
Filed under: uncultured bacterium
Lineage: Bacteria
Description: partial 16S ribosomal RNA
Rfam family: Bacterial small subunit ribosomal RNA
Source: RNAcentral